Molecule: non-coding RNA, 117 nt
Organism: Homo sapiens (human)
Lineage: Eukaryota; Metazoa; Chordata; Mammalia; Primates; Hominidae
Rfam family: Metazoan signal recognition particle RNA
About the family: The signal recognition particle (SRP) is a universally conserved ribonucleoprotein. It is involved in the co-translational targeting of proteins to membranes.
Source: Rfam
GCCGGGCAUGGUGGCUCAUGCCUGUAAUCCCAGCACUUUGGGAGGCUGAGGCAGGUGGAUCACUUGAGGUCAGGAGUUCCAGACCAGCCUGACCAACAUGGUGAAACCCCGUCUCUA